UACGUAGGGUGCAAGCGUUGUCCGGAAUCAUUGGGCGUAAAGCGCGCGUAGGCGGCCUCGUAAGUCCGUUGUGAAAGUCAAAGGCUCAACCUUUGAAAGCCGAUGGAUACUGUGAGGCUAGAGUCCGGAAGAGGCGAGUGGAAUUCCUGGUGUAGCGGUGGAAUGCGCAGAUAUCAGGAAGAACACCCGUGGCGAAGGCGGCUCUCUGGAACGCAACUGACGCUGAGACGCGAAAGCGUGGGGAGCAAACAGG
RNAcentral lists this ribosomal RNA (253 nucleotides) under uncultured bacterium. RNAcentral describes it as "partial 16S ribosomal RNA". It matches the Rfam family "Bacterial small subunit ribosomal RNA", at positions 524 to 776 of the family's 1533-position model. The record is from RNAcentral.